Molecule: ribosomal RNA, 776 nt
Filed under: Pristionchus sp. 6 TWN1985
Lineage: Eukaryota; Metazoa; Nematoda; Chromadorea; Rhabditida; Neodiplogasteridae
Description: SSU rRNA
Rfam family: Eukaryotic small subunit ribosomal RNA
Source: RNAcentral
ACCCAUAAUCUACCCAGUUUUCGUAUCCAAAACGGAUAUCUGCGUUAAUUUUGGAGCUAAUACGUGCACCAACGUGCUGCUAGCAAUAGUGGCACGCACUUAUUAGAUCAAGGCCGAUUGGGGCAACCCUUUUGGUGACUCUGAAUAAUUUUGCGGAUCGUAUGGUCUUGUACCGACGACGUACUGGUCGAGUGGGUGCCCUAUCAACUAUUGAUGGAAGUCUAUGUGUCUUCCAUGGUUGUAACGGGUAACGGAGAAUAAGGGUUCGACUCCGGAGAGCUAGCCUUAGAAACGGCUAUCACAUCCAAGGAAGGCAGCAGGCGCGUAAAUUACCCACUCUCAAUUCGAGGAGGUAGUGACUAUCAAUAACGAGACAGAUCUCUUUGAGGUCUGUCAUUGCAAUGAGCACAACUUAAAGACUUUAACGAAGUCUAUGGGAGGGCAAGUCUGGUGCCAGCAGCCGCGGUAAUUCCAGCUCCCAACGUGUAUAUCGUCAUUGCUGCGGUUAAAAAGCUCGUAGUUGGAUCUUAGCUCAUGUCGGUAGUUCUCCAUGUGAGAUACUGCUCGGCUGAGCUGUUUCGCCGGUUUUCCGUAGUUUCGGCUGCGGUGACUGGUGUUGUAACUUUGAUUAAAUCAAUGUGAUUAAAACAGGCGUUUGCUUGAAUGCUUUAUCAUGGAAUAAUAGAAUAUGACUUCGGUCCAUUCUGUUGGUCUUGGGAUCGAAGUAAUGAUUAAAAGGAACAACUCGGGGGCAUCCGUAUCGCUGCGUGAGAGGU